This 454-nucleotide ribosomal RNA is filed under the name uncultured bacterium. RNAcentral's name for it is "bacterial SSU rRNA". It matches the Rfam family "Bacterial small subunit ribosomal RNA", at positions 28 to 505 of the family's 1533-position model. The record is from RNAcentral.
GAUAAACGCUGGCGGCGUGCAUGAGACAUGCAAGUCGAACGAGUGCCGGGCAACCGGUGCUAGUGGCGGACGGCUGAGUAACGCGUUGGUGACCUACCCCGAAGUGGGGAAUAACUGCCCGAAAGGGUGGCUAAUACCGCAUGUGGUCGCACGUUCGUUCGUGCGAGUAAAGCCGCAAGGCGCUUCGGGAGGGGCCUGCGUCCGAUUAGCUCGUUGGUGGGGUAAUGGCUUACCAAGGCGACGAUCGGUAGGUGGUCUGAGAGGACGAUCACCCAGACUGGGACUGAGACACGGCCCAGACUCCUACGGGAGGCAGCAGUCGGGAAUUUUGCUCAAUGGGGGAAACCCUGAAGCAGCAACGCCGCGUGAGGGAUGAAGGCCUUCGGGUUGUAAACCUCUUUUGUUCUAGGGACGAUGAUGACGGUACCUGGCGAAUAAGCCACGGCUAACUACG